Molecule: ribosomal RNA, 312 nt
Filed under: Triticum aestivum (bread wheat)
Lineage: Eukaryota; Viridiplantae; Streptophyta; Magnoliopsida; Poales; Poaceae
Description: partial small subunit ribosomal RNA
Source: RNAcentral
AUGGGCGCAGGUUCCUCGCAACUAUAUGACAUGUGUUCUCAGAUGUUCAUCUCCACCGAGUGUGGACUUAGUUCUAUUUCAGGGGAAGCUGGCUCCAGUCUCUCACUGUCGACGUUCCUGCCGCCUGAUAGGAAGAAGCAGAAAGGUAGGCCAACCAAAGCGAGGGAUAAACCUGGAUAUGAGGUCAAGGACACGCGAUCAAGGUUUUGUACGGUUUGUAGGGAGAAAGGGCACAAGAGCACGACAUGCCCCCGCAGGCUGACCUUCCGAAGAAACCUCAGAAAAUCCCUACAUGCGGCAAUUGCGGUGUAG